This 607-nucleotide long non-coding RNA is filed under the name Mus spicilegus (steppe mouse). RNAcentral's name for it is "lncRNA (ENSMSIG00000026517.1)". The record is from RNAcentral. Lineage: Eukaryota; Metazoa; Chordata; Mammalia; Rodentia; Muridae.
UUCCAAGCGCUAUUAAUCGAGCAUCUUCUUCUCUCCCUUUUAGAGUAAAUUAGUGAGCUAAACGGCUGACCUUGGGAACACAAAGAUGUGCAGGUGAAAGGAGGCUAAGAUAUGGAUCAGGACCAAGAGCUGGGAAGAUGCUAAAAACAGAUCUAGAUAGAAACCACACAAUGUUGGAUGAGAUCUACUCUACAGUUGCAGAUAGAGCCACAAGUUGAUACCAUCUGUUGAAGCACAUCUGAAGCUCUUAUGAAGAUGCAGUCCAGUUGCCAAGGAUACCAUCAUGAACACAGCCAUUACCUAAUUCAGUGCAAGCAGAGGACAGAAGAAAUCAGAAAGGAGGCAUUUGCAACAGUUAUAUUCAACCUGUGACAGGAAACUGUUGAGGAGGAAGUUGACAACGGGGACUUGGAAAGAAGGACACCAUGAGCGAGUCUUCCCGCUGCUCUUCGGAGAAUUCUGGUAUCCAUCUUGGUGCAGGGUACAUGUCUGCAACGAGGAAGGAAAGAUGUAGAAUGAGCUUAGCCUUGAGGUCAGCUCCAUCCUUCUUCCUUUCUCCACCUUGGAACCUGAAAAGUGAAGCAGCGAAAAAGAACCUCAUGCUUUC